This 564-nucleotide ribosomal RNA is filed under the name uncultured Glomeromycotina. Its description in RNAcentral is "SSU rRNA". It matches the Rfam family "Eukaryotic small subunit ribosomal RNA", at positions 548 to 1114 of the family's 1831-position model. Lineage: Eukaryota; Fungi; Glomeromycota. The record is from RNAcentral.
UUGGAGGGCAAGUCUGGUGCCAGCAGCCGCGGUAAUUCCAGCUCCAAUAGCGUAUAUUAAAGUUGUUGCAGUUAAAAAGCUCGUAGUUGAAUUUCGGGAUCAGUUGAUCGGUCGUGCCUCGGUACGUACUGGUCAAAUUGAUUCCUACCUUCUGACGAACCACGAUGUCAUUAAUUUGGUGUCGUGGGAAAUCAGGACUGUUACUUUGAAAAAAUUAGAGUGUUUAAAGCAGGCUCGCGCUCGAAUACAUUAGCAUGGAAUAAUGAAAUAGGACGUCUGAUUCUAUUUUGUUGGUUUCUAGGAUCGACGUAAUGAUUAAUAGGGAUAGUUGGGGGCAUUAGUAUUCAAUUGUCAGAGGUGAAAUUCUUGGAUUUAUUGAAGACUAACUACUGCGAAAGCAUUUGCCAAGGAUGUUUUCAUUAAUCAAGAACGAAAGUUAGGGGAUCGAAGACGAUCAGAUACCGUCGUAGUCUUAACCAUAAACUAUACCGACUAGGGAUCGGAUGAUGUUAAUUUUUUAAUGACUCAUUCGGCGCCUUACAGGAAACCAAAGUGUUUGGGUUC